RNAcentral lists this ribosomal RNA (146 nucleotides) under Ceratocystis fimbriatomima. RNAcentral describes it as "5.8S ribosomal RNA". It matches the Rfam family "5.8S ribosomal RNA". From Rfam's summary of the family: 5.8S ribosomal RNA (5.8S rRNA) is a component of the large subunit of the eukaryotic ribosome. RNAcentral also lists the same sequence under 2 other names. Lineage: Eukaryota; Fungi; Ascomycota; Sordariomycetes; Microascales; Ceratocystidaceae. The record is from RNAcentral.
AAACUUUCAACAACGGAUCUCUUGGCUCUAGCAUCGAUGAAGAACGCAGCGAAAUGCGAUAAGUAAUGUGAAUUGCAGAAUUCAGUGAAUCAUCGAAUCUUUGAACGCACAUUGCGCCUGGCAGUAUUCUGCCAGGCAUGCCUGUC